RNAcentral lists this ribosomal RNA (497 nucleotides) under uncultured bacterium. RNAcentral's name for it is "partial 16S ribosomal RNA". It matches the Rfam family "Bacterial small subunit ribosomal RNA", at positions 28 to 507 of the family's 1533-position model. The record is from RNAcentral.
GAUGAACGCUGGCGGCGUGCCUAAUACAUGCAAGUCGAGCGAACAGAUGAGGAGCUUGCUCCUCUGACGUUAGCGGCGGACGGAUGAGUAACACGUGGAUAACCUACCUAUAAGACUGGGAUAACUUCGGGAAACCGGAGCUAAUACCGGAUAAUAUAUUGAACCGCAUGGUUCAAUAGUGGAAGACGGUUUUGCUGUGACUUAUAGAUGGAUCCGCGCUUCAUUAGCUAGUUGGUAAGGUAACGGCUUACCAAGGCAACGAUGCGUAGCCGACCUCAGAGGGUGGUCGCCCACCCGGGAUCUGAGACUCGGCCCCGACUCCUGCGGUGGGCCGCAGUCGGGACUCUUCCGCGAGGGGGGAGAGCCUGACGGAGCAACGCCGCGUGAGUCAUGAAGGUCCUCGGCCCGUAAAGCGCUGUUAUUAGUGGAGUACAAAUGCGUAAGUAACUAUGCUCGUCUUGACGGUACCGAAUCAGAAAGCCCCGGCUAACUCCGUG